GCGGGACCGAGCUGUCCGCGAGCGGCGAAGCGCGGGCCCCGGGCGCGGCGGGGAGCGCGCGAGGAGACGAGCGCCCGGCGCAGGAACCAGAGGCCGCCGGGGUUCACCGGCUGCCGCCGCGAUGAGCGGCGCCUGGGUUCGGGCUCGGCCUGCCGCCCGCCGGCUUCUCCUCCAGCCCCGGAGCACGAGCCCGACCGCCCCGGAUCGCGCCGCUCUGAGACUUCGGGUCCUGCUGCUGCUGAGCUCGGCUGCGGGCUCGAACUCGCCCGGGUGAUGGCAGAAGGCGUGGAGCUGUGCAGUGCUCCAGCCCACCGUCUCUGGAUCGUUGGCGCCAGUUACUGUUCUGUGCUCGGAGACCCUGUGACCUCCUUGCGGUGGAACAGAAACUAAAAGCUCAGUACAAACUGCUUCUCCAGUGGCGCUUUCUGGGCGUGCGUCUUGGUGGCUGGCAAGGUGGAGGAGUGAAGGGCGGCGAGGCAAGAUCGGAGUAACUCUCCCCGGGAGAGAUGCGGAACGGAAUGGGUAGACCCUCGCUUCAAGUGAUGCCAGAACCUGUGCCGCGUUGCUGAGAUUUCCAACUGCGUGUUGAGGACUAAAGCUGUAAGACUCAGAAAGACUGGUGUGGGUAGUUAGGCUGUGGAUUCCUGUGUUGAGAGUAAAGGACGCAUAGAAGAACGGGAGAGUCAAAUAAGGCAGGAUUAGACAAAAGGGAGGCGAAUGGAUUGAAAAUCAAAUACAGUGGCAGCGCAAGCAUUCUGGAAAGAAGAAAAUCCCUUCUCCAGAUUAGAACAAUUUCAACUCAUAAGUAUUGUGUCAGGGAAAUGUUAGAUUUGGGGUGCCAGUCGGGUCAUACGUAAACACACAGGAAACAGCCUCUAGUUUUGAUUGUGGUCCUAACUCUCUCUGUUACCCUGGGCAGGGCAGGUAAACUUCAUAUGGCUGUUUCUUGUCUGUGAAAGGACGGACCUGUUAAUGCUUUUCAGUUCCAUCGCUCCAUGGUUCUGCUUCCCCAGUGCCCUCUGAACUUCUAACUCAUAAGAACUGUCUGGGGCGAGUCAUUAACUGAACUCAUAUCUGUGAAGACAUCAGCAAAGCGAGCAACUUCUCAUUGCUAUGGAGGCUCUGUGCGCCACACCAUGAUCUCUUAAUCCCUUCACUUUCCCCCACGGAGGUACCAUGAUACUUUGAGAAUAGUCCUCCUUUUCAUCUUGAAACACUCAUCCACCUAGGAAAGAAGGAAAAGGUCCAAGAAGCGGAGCACUGCUAUGCCUAUGGCUCAGUUAAGAGGAGGUGGUCUUGUUGAUUCUCUCCUCUGCAUUUUGUUCAUCUGACCCCUGCCCCGUGGAAGCCAGUGGAGGAGAAUGAAAUGAGGAAAAGAUUGCUGAACCCUGCUGCAGAAUACAUCUUGCCAGCUUCCAUGGUGCCAACACCACAGGUUCCCUU
Molecule: long non-coding RNA, 1443 nt
Organism: Heterocephalus glaber (naked mole-rat)
Lineage: Eukaryota; Metazoa; Chordata; Mammalia; Rodentia; Bathyergidae
Source: Ensembl